This 917-nucleotide ribosomal RNA is filed under the name Staphylococcus aureus. Its description in RNAcentral is "partial 23S ribosomal RNA". It matches the Rfam family "Bacterial large subunit ribosomal RNA", at positions 1487 to 2401 of the family's 2925-position model. The record is from RNAcentral. Lineage: Bacteria; Bacillati; Bacillota; Bacilli; Caryophanales; Staphylococcaceae.
CGAAGCGUGCGAUUGGAUUGCACGUCUAAGCAGUAAGGCUGAGUAUUAGGCAAAUCCGGUACUCGUUAAGGCUGAGCUGUGAUGGGGAGAAGACAUUGUGUCUUCGAGUCGUUGAUUUCACACUGCCGAGAAAAGCCUCUAGAUAGAAAAUAGGUGCCCGUACCGCAAACCGACACAGGUAGUCAAGAUGAGAAUUCUAAGGUGAGCGAGCGAACUCUCGUUAAGGAACUCGGCAAAAUGACCCCGUAACUUCGGGAGAAGGGGUGCUCUUUAGGGUUAACGCCCAGAAGAGCCGCAGUGAAUAGGCCCAAGCGACUGUUUAUCAAAAACACAGGUCUCUGCUAAACCGUAAGGUGAUGUAUAGGGGCUGACGCCUGCCCGGUGCUGGAAGGUUAAGAGGAGUGGUUAGCUUCUGCGAAGCUACGAAUCGAAGCCCCAGUAAACGGCGGCCGUAACUAUAACGGUCCUAAGGUAGCGAAAUUCCUUGUCGGGUAAGUUCCGACCCGCACGAAAGGCGUAACGAUUUGGGCACUGUCUCAACGAGAGACUCGGUGAAAUCAUAGUACCUGUGAAGAUGCAGGUUACCCGCGACAGGACGGAAAGACCCCGUGGAGCUUUACUGUAGCCUGAUAUUGAAAUUCGGCACAGCUUGUACAGGAUAGGUAGGAGCCUUUGAAACGUGAGCGCUAGCUUACGUGGAGGCGCUGGUGGGAUACUACCCUAGCUGUGUUGGCUUUCUAACCCGCACCACUUAUCGUGGUGGGAGACAGUGUCAGGCGGGCAGUUUGACUGGGGCGGUCGCCUCCUAAAAGGUAACGGAGGCGCUCAAAGGUUCCCUCAGAAUGGUUGGAAAUCAUUCAUAGAGUGUAAAGGCAUAAGGGAGCUUGACUGCGAGACCUACAAGUCGAGCAGGGUCG